Long non-coding RNA from Mesocricetus auratus (golden hamster), 338 nucleotides. RefSeq lists it as uncharacterized. The record is from RefSeq and is a predicted model, not a curated record. Lineage: Eukaryota; Metazoa; Chordata; Mammalia; Rodentia; Cricetidae. The transcript has 2 exons.
CUAACCCAAAGAGAACCCGCAGACACCAGAGGAUUAUACAAAAGUGGUCCAGCCAUGCAGAAGACAGGCUACCUGGUGGAGAAAAGUCCCCGAGAUCUUGUCAGGGCAUCAGCAGCCACAGACAGCCGUUCCUGAAGUUCUGAUGAUGUAAUCUCAGGCACCUGCCAUCCCAUCUGAACCUCAUUUCCUGCCAUUCAACAAGUGUUCCAAGCUCUAAUGCCCAGGUGACCGGGUGGAGGACAUGAACCCCAAGGAUGCCUCAAGUCAGAGCCUUAACACUCCAUCCCCUCUGUAAUGUGCUCCCUUCCUCUGGUGUCUACCUGAGUGUCAGAGGCGAG